Molecule: ribosomal RNA, 448 nt
Filed under: uncultured bacterium
Lineage: Bacteria
Description: bacterial SSU rRNA
Rfam family: Bacterial small subunit ribosomal RNA
Source: RNAcentral
UGGGGAAUCUUGCGCAAUGGGCGAAAGCCUGACGCAGCAACGCCGCGUGCGGGAUGAAGGCUCUCGGGUUGUAAACCGCUUUCAGCAGGAACGAAAAUGACGGUACUUGCAGAAGAAGGUGCGGCCAACUAUGUGCCAGCAGCCGCGGUGAUACAUAGGCACCAAGCGUUGUCCGGAUUUAUUGGGCGUAAAGAGCUCGUAGGUGGUUCGGUAAGUCGGGUGUGAAAACUUUGGGCUCAACCCAAAGCCUGCAUCCGAUACUGCUGUGACUAGAGUUCGGUAGGGGAGCGGGGAAUUCCUAGUGUAGCGGUGAAAUGCGCAGAUAUUAGGAGGAACACCGGUGGCGAAGGCGCCGCUCUGGGCCGAUACUGACACUGAGGAGCGAAAGCGUGGGUAGCAAACAGGAUUAGAUACCCGGGUAGUCCCUGAGCGGGCUGGCAAGGCGCAU